This 253-nucleotide ribosomal RNA is filed under the name uncultured bacterium. Its description in RNAcentral is "partial 16S ribosomal RNA". It matches the Rfam family "Bacterial small subunit ribosomal RNA", at positions 524 to 776 of the family's 1533-position model. The record is from RNAcentral.
UACGGAGGUUGCAAGCGUUAUCCGGAUUUAUUGGGUUUAAAGGGUGCGUAGGCGGGAAAAUAAGUCAGUGGUGAAAACCUGCAGCUUAACUGUAGAACUGCCAUUGAUACUGUUUUUCUUGAGUAUAGUUGAGGUGGGCGGAAUGUGUAAUGUAGCGGUGAAAUGCUUAGAUAUUACACAGAACACCAAUUGCGUAGGCAGCUCACUAAACUAAAACUGACGCUGAGGCACGAAAGCGUGGGGAGCAAACAGG